RNAcentral lists this ribosomal RNA (377 nucleotides) under uncultured bacterium. RNAcentral describes it as "bacterial SSU rRNA". It matches the Rfam family "Bacterial small subunit ribosomal RNA", at positions 521 to 896 of the family's 1533-position model. The record is from RNAcentral.
UAAUACAGAGGCCUCGAGCGUUAGGCGGAAUCACUGGGCUUAAAGCGCGUGUAGGCGGAUCGUUAAGUGUCUUGUGAAAUCCCACGGCUCAACCGUGGAACUGCUGGGCAUACUGGCGAUCUUGGGCCACUCAGGGGCAACCGGAACAAGCGGUGGAGCGGUGAAAUGCGUAGAUAUCGCUUGGAACGCCAAAGGUGAAGACAGGUUGCUGGGGGUGUGCCGACGCUGAGACGCGAAAGCCAGGGGAGCAAACGGGAUUAGAUACCCCGGUAGUCCUGGCCCUAAACGAUGUCCACUGGGUCGCGGCCCCUUGACGGGGGUCGCGGCCGGAGCAAAAGUGUUAAGUGGACCGCCUGGGAAGUACGGUCGCAAGGCUA